AGUGAACGCUGGCGGUAGGCCUAACACAUGCAAGUCGAACGGCAGCACAGUAAGAGCUUGCUCUUACGGGUGGCGAGUGGCGGACGGGUGAGGAAUACAUCGGAAUCUACUUUUUCGUGGGGGAUAACGUAGGGAAACUUACGCUAAUACCGCAUACGACCUACGGGUGAAAGCAGGGGAUCUUCGGACCUUGCGCGAUUGAAUGAGCCGAUGUCGGAUUAGCUAGUUGGCGGGGUAAAGGCCCACCAAGGCGACGAUCCGUAGCUGGUCUGAGAGGAUGAUCAGGCAAAAUGGAAAUGAGAAAAGGUCCAGAAUCCUAAGGGAGGCAGCAGUGGGGAAUAUUGGACAAUGGGCGCAAGCCUGAUCCAGCCAUACCGCGUGGGUGAAGAAGGCCUUCGGGUUGUAAAGCCCUUUUGUUGGGAAAGAAAAGCAGCAGGUUAAUACCCCGCUGUUCUGACGGUACCCAAAGAAUAAGCACCGGCUAACUUCGUG
RNAcentral lists this ribosomal RNA (492 nucleotides) under uncultured bacterium. Its description in RNAcentral is "partial 16S ribosomal RNA". It matches the Rfam family "Bacterial small subunit ribosomal RNA", at positions 29 to 507 of the family's 1533-position model. The record is from RNAcentral.